AGUGAACGCUGGCGGCAGGCCUAACACAUGCAAGUCGAUCGAGCGGCUGACGGGUGAGUAAUGUCUGGGAAACUGCCUGAUGGUGGGGGAUAACUCCUGGAAACGGUAGCUAAUACCGCAUACCAUCAGAUGUGCCCAGAUGGGAUUAGCUAGUAGGUGGGGUAACGGCUCACCCAGGCGACGAUCCCUAGCUGGUCUGAGAGGAUGACCAGCCACACUGGAACUGAGACACGGUCCAGACUCCUACGGAGGGCAGCAGUGGGGGAUAUUGCACAAUGGGCGCAAGCCUGAUGCAGCCAUGCCGCGUGUGUGAAGAAGGCCUUCGGGUUGUAAAGCACUUUCAGCAGGGAGGCGUUACCCGCAGAAGAAGCACCGGCUAACUCCGUGCCAGCAGCCGCGGUAAUAC
Molecule: ribosomal RNA, 406 nt
Filed under: uncultured bacterium
Lineage: Bacteria
Description: partial 16S ribosomal RNA
Rfam family: Bacterial small subunit ribosomal RNA
Source: RNAcentral